This 1010-nucleotide ribosomal RNA is filed under the name uncultured bacterium. RNAcentral describes it as "bacterial SSU rRNA". It matches the Rfam family "Bacterial small subunit ribosomal RNA", at positions 355 to 1375 of the family's 1533-position model. The record is from RNAcentral.
UGGGGAAUAUUGCACAAUGGGCGCAAGCCUGAUGCAGCGACGCCGCGUGAGGGAUGGAGGCCUUCGGGUUGUAAACCUCUUUUAUCGGGGAGCAAGCGAGAGUGAGUUUACCCGUUGAAUAAGCACCGGCUAACUACGUGCCAGCAGCCGCGGUAAUACGUAGGGUGCAAGCGUUAUCCGGAAUUAUUGGGCGUAAAGGGCUCGUAGGCGGUUCGUCGCGUCCGGUGUGAAAGUCCAUCGCUUAACGGUGGAUCCGCGCCGGGUACGGGCGGGCUUGAGUGCGGUAGGGGAGACUGGAAUUCCCGGUGUAACGGUGGAAUGUGUAGAUAUCGGGAAGAACACCAAUGGCGAGGGCAGGUCUCUGGGCCGUUACUGACGCUGAGGAGCGAAAGCGUGGGGAGCGAACAGGAUUAGAUACCCUGGUAGUCCACGCCGUAAACGGUGGAUGCUGGAUGUGGGGCCCGUUCCACGGGUUCCGUGUCGGAGCUAACGCGUUAAGCAUCCCGCCUGGGGAGUACGGCCGCAAGGCUAAAACUCAAAGAAAUUGACGGGGGCCCGCACAAGCGGCGGAGCAUGCGGAUUAAUUCGAUGCAACGCGAAGAACCUUACCUGGGCUUGACAUGUUCCCGACGGUCGUAGAGAUACGGCUUCCCUUCGGGGCGGGUUCACAGGUGGUGCAUGGUCGUCGUCAGCUCGUGUCGUGAGAUGUUGGGUUAAGUCCCGCAACGAGCGCAACCCUCGCCCCGUGUUGCCAGCGGAUUAUGCCGGGAACUCACGGGGGACCGCCGGGGUUAACUCGGAGGAAGGUGGGGAUGACGUCAGAUCAUCAUGCCCCUUACGUCCAGGGCUUCACGCAUGCUACAAUGGCCGGUACAACGGGAUGCGACGCGGCGACGCGGAGCGGAUCCCUGAAAACCGGUCUCAGUUCGGAUCGCAGUCUGCAACUCGACUGCGUGAAGGCGGAGUCGCUAGUAAUCGCGAAUCAGCAACGUCGCGGUGAAUGCGUUCCC